AUCAUGUGAUUUUCUGGUAUUACUCGGAAUACUCUGAGCAAGGAUAUUGAUUACUGCGAACAUCAUCUAGUUGACGGCGAUGAUGAUUUAUCUGUCGAGUUUCGGUAAAGAUCAGGAGUCUCAUGGAUUUGAAGGGUCGAACAUUGGUGGACAAGUUCAAGGCAGUAACAUAUGCGGAGAAUUCAAAAAACAAAGUAAUUAUCCAAGUACAAGUCACUUCACUUAGGAAUUAGGAUGCUAAGAAAAGCUCAGACAUAUGAAGAUUAAUGCAGUAUAGCAGCGAUAGAUAAGAGGUUCCCCCUGGAUCACAUCACCCGGGGAUGACAAGAAUUCUAAUAAUCUUCUGAGUGAGCCUCUUGUAUUCGUUGGCACAGAUAAAGGUUUUCUGUUUAUUGGGAGAAAUCUUUGCUGA
Long non-coding RNA from Daucus carota subsp. sativus, 412 nucleotides. RefSeq lists it as uncharacterized. NCBI's taxonomy places the organism in Eukaryota, Viridiplantae, Streptophyta, Magnoliopsida, Apiales, Apiaceae. The record is from RefSeq and is a predicted model, not a curated record. The transcript is spliced from 2 exons.